This is a non-coding RNA of Xyrichtys novacula (pearly razorfish), 6459 nucleotides long. The record is from the annotation of a GenBank genome assembly. Lineage: Eukaryota; Metazoa; Chordata; Actinopteri; Labriformes; Labridae.
CGCGUUGGGGGGGGGGGGGCGACACGGCUCGGGCCCGCCAGUGCCCCAACGGGGCCCUAGUCUUUGUUUCUUUCUUAGGGCCCGAGCGUAGCUGCUAAGCAGCUGCGAGAGCCCUCUUGUUCCUGUAGUUUCCUUCUUUUGUUAUUAUUAGGGCCCGAGCGUAGCUGCUAAGCAGCUGCGAGAGCCCUAUUAUUCCCCAAGUGGUUUUUCUUUGUUUCUUUCUUUCUUUCUUUCUUUCUUUCUUCUUUUUCCUCCCCUUUGAACUGGAAAAUGGCCCACUUCCCACUGGCGAAAACUCAUGAAAUUUGGCAGGACGACCGGGCCUGGUGAAAAAUUUGAUAUUCUGAAGUCGCCCAAACAAUAAAAUGCAAAAUGGCUCCAUAGCGCCCCCUAAGGUGGAAAUUCACACUAUUGAUUGUCACGCCUGUACGCUUUGUCAUAUUGACACAAAAAUUGACACACAUAUGUAUCUCAAUAAGAUCUACAAAAAAGUCAGUGCGGCCCUAUCUGUCAAAAUUACGGUUAAAGGGUUAUUCCGCAUUUUUUGCCGAUCCGCACACAUUGGAAUUUCGCUAACUCCUCCGAAGGCUCUCGUUCCACCGGCACCACAUUUGCUCAGGCCAAUCUACACCCCGUGGCCAUUAAAAGUUAUCAAAAUCAUGACGCUGCACCCCACGGUUUAGGUUCUAGGGGGCGCCAAAGAUAACACUAAAAUCCACAUAUUUAAAAGUCUUAUAACUUUUUAUUUUUGUCCUCACUGGCCUCCAAGUUUUCUAGGAUGAUGCAAUGUCCAGCCAUCAACACAUUUGUGAAGGAAUUUUUACUCCCCAAAAGAGCGCCCCCCCAUGGCAGGAGAAAAAAGUCCAUUUUUUCUUGUCCCCUAAGGUGAAAAUACACAUUGUUGAGUGUCACGUCUAUACGCUUUGUCAAAAUGACACAAAAAUUGACACACACAUGUAUCUCAAUAAGAUCUACGAAAAAGUCAAUGCGUGCAUAUCUGUCAAAUGUACAGUUAAAGGGUUAUUCCGCAUUUUUUGCCGAUCCGCACACAUUGGAAUGUGGCUAACUCCUCCUAAGGCUUUCGUUCCACCGGCACCACAUUUGCUCAGGCCAAUCUACACCCCAUGGCCAUUAAAAGUUAUUCAAAUCAUGACGCUGCACCCCACGGUUUAGGUUCUAGGGGGCGCCAAAGAUAACCCUAAAAUCCACAUAUUUAAAAGUCUUAUAACUUUUUAUUUUUGUCCUCACUGGCCUCCAAGUUUUCUAGGAUGAUGCAAUGUCCAGCCAUCAACACAUUUGUGAAGGAAUUUUUACUCCCCAAAAGAGCACCCCCCAUGGCAGGAGAAAAAAGUCCAUUUUUUCUUGUCCCCUAAGGUGAAAAUACAUAUUGUUGAGAUUCACGCCUAUAUGCUUUGUCAUAUUGACACAAAAUUUGACAAUCACGUGCCUUGCCUGGUAUCAUUUUUUUCAGCACAACCUCACCUGUGCGAAUUUACAGUUAUUUUAUCAUGUUGACAUACUGAAUUUACACAAUGGACCCAAAUUCACACACAAAACAUAAAAUCCGAGUGGAAAAAAGUAACAUUUUUACUGUGAAAACCACAAAUAUGUGUGAUGAACUGUUUUUAAAACUUAAACUUCAAAUAAAAAUUGUAAACUUCAAAACAUAUGCAAAUUUUUAACAAAGAACAUAGUGAUUUACCUCUAUUUACAUCAAAAUGCAGGCAAUGGCCCAGGCGUUCUUUGUAAAAUUAUUUACAAAACACUGUAUAGUCUCACAAAUGUCACUUUUUAUUUAUGCCACUACAAAAAAACAUGAUGUAAAUGAUGCAUGAUGUAAAACAUGAUGUAAAAAACUUGUGUAGAUCCUCCUCUAUGUCAGUCCAUGUGUAAUUUUUCCAUAAUUCUUUGUUUUUUGCAGCAUUUUUGUUAGUGUAACUGCAGAUUGUGCUGACAGUGUCUAUGGCACAAAAAAAAAAAAAAUUAAAAUGCCUCAACAUGAACCCCUGGUGGUCUCUGAGGGUGAAACCUGCUAACUGCUGCAGCUCUGUCAGCUUCAGUCUCCCAUGCAGAGCUCUGAGCGCAUGUGUGGCUCUGCACCCUUAGCAGCGUUGCUAACUCCUCAGUAAGGAAAGCCUGCUUCAUGUCAGAGUCUCUAAACUCCAGAAGAAGUCGAUAAAAGUCCCUUUCUUUCUAAAAAAAAGUCGUUAGGGGGUCUGAAAAGUCAUUGAAUCUAACAACAAAGUCGCUAGGUUUGCAACUACGUGUCCCAGACUGCAUCCCUGCUGAGAGUCCCUCCCUCGCUUCUCAUGUUGCAGGAAGAACGUAAGCGCCCGCCCCUUGUCAAUCAGUCACCAUAUAAUUUUGGAUUGGUUGUUGUGGUGAAGUUUUCCACCAAUAGGAGAGAUGUUGUGGUGUGUUUUUUUUUUCUUUUGGCAAGCCUUUUCCGCCUGUAAGACCUGUCGCUAAUGUCUGCAUGCUAUGUUUUCCUGUCUCAUACAGCGCGAUCGAGCGCCGAAUGUGAUCAAAAUAAGCAGAAAAAAGUAUCGCGGACAUAAUUUAUCAUAACUCUGGUUUUAUUUGGCCUAUCAACACAAUUUAAAAACUGGUAUAUAGGUUGAGGUCCUCACUUUUGAGAUAAGUUGAAACGGAGAGUCAACGAGGCUCCGUCUUGCAGCUACAUCCGGUUAAAUAUGUCAUGUGACUUGAACGCACACACAGACACACACACACGCACACACACACACACACACACACACACACACACACACACACUCAGAGUCUGGUUUUUAGCACCUGCAAAAACAUGCCAUUUACAUAUUUGACAAGAAUGCAGAGGCUCCUUUUGCCCCUGAAAAAAAUCAAAUUUCAAACACAACUUGACUGGUCAUUUCUCCAAAAGACAACCAUGAAGCUCCAUCCAAACCUGAAGCAGGCAGUUGGUGCAUGUGUACAGUAACCUGAGGGGAGUGAGGUGAGUGCUUCUGAGGAGAACAUGAGCAGUGAAGAUUCACCUUGGAGCUAGAACAGAGACAUGCACAUGAUUAUACAGGGGCAGGGGCUCAAGUUUUUUCCAGUCGUUUAUACAAUAUGGAAAUUAAUGUGAAAUUAAAACACAAAGUAUUAAUAGAAAGGUAAUGACUGUCCUGUGUAGGUGACAGUGAUAUCGAAUAGGCUAGGCACUCACGAGGCUGGCUGUGGCAAGUGUAAGUGAAAGCAACACGCACUGGCAGGAAGAACAGCAAACGCCGAUGAAGGAAAAGGGUCUUUGCAGUGAUGGGCGUUACCAGAGAGGGCGAUGGCCAGAGGACACAAAUGGGACGGGGAGGCAGCACGUUGGGGGGGGGCGACACGGCUCGGGCCCGCCAGUGCCCCAACGGGGUCCUAGUUAGGGCCCGAGCGUAGCUGCUAAGCAGCUGCGAGAGCCCUCUUGUUCCUGAUGGAUUCUUCUUUUGUUAUUAUUAUUAUUAUUAUUAUUUUUCCUCCGCUUUAAACUGGAAAAUGGCCCACUUCCCACUGGCGAAAACUCAUGAAAUUUGGCAGGACGACCGGGCCUGGUGAAAAAUUCGAUAUUCUGAAGUCGCCCAAACAAUAAAAUGCAAAAUGGCUCCAUAGCGCCCCCUAAGGUGAAAAUUCACACUAUUGACUGUCACGCCUUUACGCUUUGUCAUAUUGACACAAAAAUUGACACACACAUGUAUCUCAAUAAGAUCUACAAAAAAGUCAGUGCGGGCGUAUCUGUCAAAUGUACGGUUAAAGGGUUAUUUCGCAUUUUUUGCCGAUCCGCACACAUUGGAAUUUCGCUAACUCCUCCGAAGGCUUUCGUUCCAACGGCACCACAUUUGCUCAGGCCAAUCUACACCCCAUGGCCAUUAAAAGUUGUACAAAUCAUGACGCUGCACCCCACGGUUUACGUUCUAGGGGGCGCCAAAGAUAACCCAAAAAUCCACAGUCUUAAAAGUCUUAUAACUUUUUAUUUUUGUCCUCACUGGCCUCCAAGUUCUCUAGGAUGAUGCAAUGUCCAGCCAUCAACACAUUUGUGAAGGAAUUUUUACUCCCCAAAUGAGCGCCCCCCAAUGGCAGGAGAAAAAAGUCAAUUUUUUCUUGUCUCCUAAGGCGAAAAUACACAUUGUUGACUGUCACGCCUGUAUGCUUUGUCAAAAUGACACAAAAAUUGACAUACACAUGUAUCUCAAUACGAUCUACGAAAAAGUCAAUGCGAGCGUAUCUGUUCAAUGUACGGUUAAAGGGCUAUUUCGCAUUUUUUGCCGAUUCGCACACAUUGGAAUUUCACUAACUCCUCCUAAAGCUUUUGUCCCAUCGGCUUCAAAUUUGCUCAGGUCAAUCUACACCCCAUGGCCAUUCAAAGUUGUACAAAUCAUGACGCUGCACCCCACGGUUUACGUUCUAGGGGGCGCCAAAGAGGACCCAAAUAUCCACAUUUUUAAAAGUCUUAUAACUUUUUAUUUUUGUCCUCACUGGCCUCCAAGUUCUCUAGGAUGAUGCAAUGUCCAGCCAUCAACACAUUUGUGAAGGAAUUUUUUCUCCCCAAAAGAGCGCCCCCCCAUGGCAGGAGAAAAAGUCAAGUUUUUCCUGCCCAUCGCUCAAUGGCUCAAACUCAUCGCUCUCUCGGCAAAACGGAAAGGAGGAGCAACUUGCCAUUUGGAUAUAUACUAGCUGUGUUUGUGCCCUCACUCAUGGUCCAGACUUUUUUCAAAAAGGACAUGGAGUUUGUCUGCAGCGAGCGUUUUGGUAGAAACUGCGCCUCCCAUUCAUUAUAAUGGUAAAUGACCACAGACAAGUGCGCACACCAUCUUUGGACCUUGAGUGUGACGCGAUCGGGAGGGGUAGGCGGUCGCGCUGGGGGCGGCGCGACACGGCUCGGGCCCGCCAGUGCCCCAACGGGGCCCUAGUUAUUUUUCCUCCCCUUUGAACUGGAAAAUGGCCCACUUCCCACUGGCGAAAACUCAUGAAAUUUGGCAGGACGACCGGGCCUGGUGAAAAAUUUGAUAUUCCGAAGUCGCCCAAACAAGAAAAUGCAAAAUGGCUCCAUAGCGCCCCCUAAGGUGAAAAUUCACACUAUUGACUGUCACGCCUGUACGCUUUGUCAAAAUGACACAAAAAUUGACACACACAUGUAUCUCAAUAAGAUCUACAAAAAAGUCAGUGCGGGCGUAUCUGUCAAAUGUACGGUUAAAGGGUUAUUUCGCAUUUUUUGCCGAUCCGCACACAUUGGAAUUUCGCUAACUCCUCCGAAGGCUUUCGUUCCACCGGCACCACAUUUGCUCAGGCCAAUCUACACCCCAUGGCCAUUAAAAGUUAUUCAAAUCAUGACGCUGCACCCCACGGUUUAGGUUCUAGGGGGCGCCAAAGAUAACCCUAAGAUCCACAUAUUUAAAAGUCUUAUAACUUUUUAUUUUUGCCCUCACUGGCCUCCAAGUUUUCUAGGAUGAUGCAAUGUCCAGCCAUCAACACAUUUGUGAAGGAAUUUUUACUCCCCAAAAGAGCGCCCCCCCAUGGCAGGAGAAAAAAGUCCAUUUUUUCUUGUCCCCUAAGGUGAAAAUACACAUUGUUGAGUGUAACACCUGUACGCUUUGGCAAAAUGACACAAAAAUUGACACACACAUGUAUCUCAAUAAGAUCUACGAAAAAGUCAAUGCGCGCGUAUCUGUCAAAUGUACGGUUAAAGGGUUAUUCCGCAUUUUUUGCCGAUCCGCACACAUUGGAAUUUCGCUAACUCCUCCGAAGGCUUUCGUUCCACCGGCACCACAUUUGCUCAGGCCAAUCUACACCCCAUGGCCAUUAAAAGUUAUUCAAAUCAUGACGCUGCACCCCACGGUUUAGGUUCUAGGGGGCGCCAAAGAUAACCCUAAAAUCCACAUAUUUAAAAGUCUUAUAACUUUUUAUUUUUGUCCUCACUGGCCUCCAAGUUUUCUAGGAUGAUGCAAUGUCCAGCCAUCAACACAUUUGUGAAGGAAUUUUUACUCCCCAAAAGAGCGCCCCCCCCAUGGCAGGAGAAAAAAGUCAAUUUUUUCUUGUCCCCUAAGGUGGAAAUUCACACUAUUGACUGUCACGCCUGUACGCUUUAUCAUAUUGACACAAAAUUUGACAAUCACAUGUAUCUCAAUAAGAUCUACAAAAAAGUCAAUGCGCGCGUAUCUGUCAAAUGUACGGUUAAAGGGCUAUUUUGCAUUUUUUGCCGAUUCGCACACAUUGGAAUGUGGCUAACUCCUCCUAAGGCUUUCGUCCCACUGACACCAAAUUUGCUCAGGCCAAUCUACACCCCAUGGUCAUUCAAAUUUGUAAAAAUCAUGACGCUGCACCCCACGGUUUACGUUCUAGGGGGCGCCAAAGAUGACCCAAAUAUCCACAUUCUUAAAAGAAUCCACAUCCCCCCCCAUCCCCCAACCCCCAUGGCAGGAGAAACAGUCAAGUUUUUCCUGCCCAUCACUCAAUGGC